Molecule: RNA transcript, 997 nt
Organism: Nycticebus coucang (slow loris)
Lineage: Eukaryota; Metazoa; Chordata; Mammalia; Primates; Lorisidae
Gene name: olfactory receptor 1J2-like
Exons: 3
Source: RefSeq, a predicted model, not a curated record
AUGAGGCCUGAGAACCAGAGCAGCAUGUCUGAGUUCCUCCUCCUGGGGCUCCCCAUCUGGCCAGAGCAGCGGAGCGUGUUCUUCCUCCUGUUCCUGGGCAUGUACUUGACCACGGUGCUGGGGAACCUGCUCAUCAUCCUGCUCAUCCGGCUGGACGCUCGCCUCCACACCCCCAUGUACUUCUUCCUCAGCCACUUGGCUCUCACUGACGUCUCCUUUUCAUCGGUCACUGUCCCAAAGAUGUUAAUUACUAUGCAAACCCAGGACCAAUCCAUCCCCUAUGCAGGGUGCAUAGCACAGAUGUAUUUUUUUCAUAUUUUUUACUGAUCUGGACAGCUUUCUUAUUACAUCAAUGGCAUAUGACCGAUAUGUUGCCAUCUGUCACCCUCUCCACUACACCACCAUCAUGAGGGAAGAGCUGUGCGCCUUAUUAGUGACACUGUCCUGGAUCCUGUCUUGUGCCAGCUCCCUCUCCCACACCCUUCUCCUGACCAGGCUGUCCUUCUGUGCUGCUAAUGCCAUCCCCCAUUUCUUCUGUGACCUCGCUGCCCUGCUCAAGCUGUCCUGCUCUGAUGUCUUCCUCAAUGAGCUGGUCAUGUUUACAGUAGGGGUGGUGGUCAUUACUCUGCCAUUCUUGUGUAUCCUGGUAUCUUAUGGUUACAUUGGGGCCACCAUCCUGAGGGUCCCUUCAACCAAAGGGAUCUGCAAAGCAUUGUCCACGUGUGGGUCCCAUCUCUGUGUAGUGUCUCUGUACUAUGGGGCAAUAUUUGGGCAGUACCUUUUCCCAUCAUUUAGCAAUUCCAUUGACAAGGACAUUAUUGUGGCUUUCAUGUACACGGUGGUCACACCCAUGUUGAACCCUUUUUUUUUUUUUAUUAUAAGAAGAGAGACUGAAAAAGGGGACGGUGGCUGCUGUGUUCUGGAGUCCUACAGCCCCAAAGGGGACAUGCUAGAGGAAGAGAGGCAGGAAUUCUCUGCGGCAAGCACAGCUGUGUAG